UGCCUAUUGGGCGCGAAACACGACAAUAUAACUCAGUUGCGUUGAAUGUAUACAAAUAUGAAAAUCCCAAUACCUCAGCGGUCACACCAUUACUACUGUAAACCACAGACGACGUAUCACACAGGUAUUUAUUGUUAGUUAUCUUUUUAAGGCAUCGAAAUCGGACAAGGACGUAAUUGAAUGGGCAAAACGACAAAGUAGGCGAGAUGAAAAAGACAGACAAAAGAAAUUAAAAUCCUUACAAGAAGAGGAAGAAAAACAAUUAGCUCUCGCAUUGAAAAAGUCUUUAGAAGAAUCUAAUGCCUAGUUAGUGCUGAGGGUUGUCGCUAAGUCUUCUUAGUUCAACUGUAAUGCAAGAGUUACUCCGUUUAAGGGAGAGAAAUUCGGAAUAUAGAAUGCAUAUACAGUGCCUGAUAAGGGUUGUAUCGUAUGCAUAACACAUUAUCUUACGAGAAGGACUUAUAGUUAAAAAUUUCUGCAACUUUCAACUGUCGUAAUACUUCACAAGUUAGUAAAUUACUGCUAGUGAGACGUCCAUGUUUCCAAAACAAAUAGACCAUUUCGUUUUCCAGCAAGGCUAUAGCAUCAUAGUCCAAUAUGACAACACAGAAAUGCGAAUCGUGGCGUACAAUCCCGAAAGUAGCGCCUGGCAGUAGUCACCCCCCCCCCCGCGCCGAAAGUGCAUGGCUUCAAAUUUGACAUUUAAAAAAAAACUCCGAAAGUAGCCGCCUCCCUGAAAGUAAAUGGAUAUGCACGUAAAUGCUGUUGCCGAAUAGACUUGAUUUUCCUGUUUCACUCUAGACGAAAGAUACUAACAAAACCAUUUAACCGGGGUUGCGCUACAGUCUAGUAAAUAUUUGCUUCAAAAACCGUCGACAGUCGGUGGUUAAGAUCGAAACUUGUCAACUGUCAACGUACCAAAGCUAUAUUGUCGAAAUGGCAUAAAGGAAAAUGGGAAGGGACAAAGAAUUCUAUUCCACAGUAUGUUAACAUUAUUUUACCAUCCGAAUGUAACUGCAUGCUCCGGUCCCGUAACCUGCUGAAAGUAGUGUCCCCCAACAGCCGAUGAAACUGAAAGUAAGAGGAACCGCUACUUUCGGGAUUCUGCGCUACUUUUAUGCAGUCCGCCCCAGACAAGAUAGACAUCGCUCAAAGAACGUCUCCAAAUUUAAAAGUUAUAUUUAUGUUGGAAUUUCUUGGGGAAAAUAUAGAGCUCAAUUUCAAUAAUCCGCGCAUUGAAUGAUUCAGUCAAUCAUAUUAAGCAAUGUUAUUACACAGCCAAGAACAAUGUUACAAUACGAGCUGAAACUGCUCAAACACCAACUGCGGACGUUCUAAGGUUCCGCUCACACUGAACUAACAAAUGGCCGUUGCUUCCUGCCUAGUACUGGUCUAACACCUGUCUGAACACGGUGCUCCCGGAUAAAAUAGAGCACAUUGAGAGGCAACGAACCUGUUGGCAUGCCUGAAACCAGGCGCUAUAUCUUUGGGCUAUACAGUAGGGUUACAUGAAGUAUUGUGACAGGCGAGCGACGAGCGAAGAAGCGUUUCGGAAGAUUCCUUGCCUAUGGCAAUUUUUAAUGUGUAAACCAUUAUACGCUAGUCCCGCUCUUUUGUGCGCAAAAGGACAGUAAAAAUAAUGCGCUGGAGACGCCUGGUAUGAGGCAGUGUGUGAACAGGACGCGUCUAUUCGCCGUCAAUUAUAGAUACUUGGGGACCAAGAUACUUGAUUCAACUCUGGAUGUGAACUUACUGAUCAUAAACGUAGUACUUUACUAAUUUAUGUAUAGAAAACACUGGGUAUAAAUGUAUAGUUUGUAAUAAUAAAAAUUAAUUGAUCAAAUAUAAAAGUCUAGGAG
This 1859-nucleotide long non-coding RNA is filed under the name Paramuricea clavata. Lineage: Eukaryota; Metazoa; Cnidaria; Anthozoa; Malacalcyonacea; Plexauridae. The record is from RNAcentral.